Drosophila serrata is the source of this 338-nucleotide long non-coding RNA. RefSeq lists it as uncharacterized. The record is from RefSeq and is a predicted model, not a curated record. NCBI's taxonomy places the organism in Eukaryota, Metazoa, Arthropoda, Insecta, Diptera, Drosophilidae.
UCUUUCAACAAUGGCACCACAGUGGAAAUUUGCCGUUCUCCUCCUGAUCUCAUUUUUCCUGGGAAACUUCCAAGCCAAUGGCAGUGUUUAUUGCGGUUUAGGGGGAGUAUGUAUGGAUAAGGUCUCCUGCUCCUAUCCUCGUGUAAUUUCAGGUCCAUGUGGCUAUAAUGAGGUUUGCUGUAGUAUGCGAUUUUAUGGAUAAUGUAUGCGAAAAAGAAUGCUCCUGAGAGAAUUCAUUAAAUAUCCUUUAUAAUAUUAUAAUAAAAAUUAAAAUGUAAUAAAAAAAAGAAUUGAACAUUAGUAAAACCUCGAUUAAUCAAUAAAAAACAAAAAAACUA